GAUGAACGCUGGCGGCGUGCUUAACACAUGCAAGUCGAACGUGAGAAUAGCAAUAUUUGAAAGUGGCAAACGGGUGAGUAACACGUGGGAACCUGCCUCGAAGUGGGGGAUAACGAUUGGAAACGGUCGCUAAUACCGCACGGUUCUGCUCUGAUGGGAAUGGAGCAGAUAAAGAUUUAUCGCUUUGAGAGGGGCCCGCGGCCGAUUAGCUAGUUGGUAAGGUAAAGGCUUACCAAGGCGAUUAUCGGUAGCUGGUCUGAGAGGACGAUCAGCCACACGGGAACUGAGACACGGUCCCGACUCCUACGGGGGGCGAGCAGUGAGGAAUAUUGGGCAAUGGGCGAAAGCCUGACCCAGCAACGCCGCGUGGAGGAUGAAGGCUUUAGGGUUGUAAACUCCUUUUGUGGGGGAAAAGGAAUGGAUGGUACCCCAACGAAUAAGUCACGGCUAACUACGUG
RNAcentral lists this ribosomal RNA (458 nucleotides) under uncultured bacterium. Its description in RNAcentral is "bacterial SSU rRNA". It matches the Rfam family "Bacterial small subunit ribosomal RNA", at positions 28 to 507 of the family's 1533-position model. The record is from RNAcentral.